Molecule: long non-coding RNA, 652 nt
Organism: Megalobrama amblycephala (Wuchang bream)
Lineage: Eukaryota; Metazoa; Chordata; Actinopteri; Cypriniformes; Xenocyprididae
Exons: 3
Source: RefSeq, a predicted model, not a curated record
UAUUAACAGAUCUGAAACCUGCUUGAUGUUUAAUGUCGUUAUUUGAGUGUGUCUGGUGAUUAGCCAUGCUGUCAUAACCUGAGCCAGAUGAGUGAAUAAUGGCAGUGUAUGUUGGUGCUCUUGACAGAUCAAGCCCGACUGACGGCUCCAAGGAAGGCGUAGCCACUGAGACUUCAGCCAAAACAGUCAGGCAUUUGAAAGAUUUAAACUAAUUGGUGUCAACAAAGUAUUCCACUGUUUACUUUAAAUCCCUGGUGCUCAGGUAAACCGAAAAUAAUGAAGGCUACUCACUAAGCUUUUCCAUUCUCUCCAAACUUCUGUCUGGAUUUGGACAGCAAACCACAAAGCGCCUCUCAGCUGACAGCUAGUUAGCUGCCCUGUAACACUCAGAGCUCAUUUAUGGCUUACUGUGUUCCUGUGUUUUGAGCAAUGUCUUUACUCAACAGAAUGGAGCUGUCCUUUUACUAAGGGUAAGACCUGCAAAGAAAUGACCUGUCACCGUUGUUCAGUGUCUACCUACCUUCUCUUUUCUUUUCUUGCCGUUUCUAUGACUACCAGCUUCUCAAGAGCUGAGGUGCAUUUACAUUAGUGCCUGUUUGCAAGCAUAUUCACAUAUUUGCAAACAGACUUUUUUUUUUUUUUUUUUUUUUUU